AUAAGAGGUCCCGCCUGCCCUGUGACUAUAAGUUUAACGGCCGCGGUAUUUUAACCGUGCGAAGGUAGCGUAAUCACUUGUCUUUUAAAUGAAGACCUGUAUGAAUGGCAUCACGAGGGCUUAGCUGUCUCCCAUCUCCAGUCAAUGAAAUUGACCUCCCCGUGCAGAGGCGGGGAUAAUUACAUAAGACGAGAAGACCCUGUGGAGCUUUAGACCUAAAGUAAGUCACGUUUAACAUGCUGAGAAAACAGUAAAAACUUAGUGAUAAUUACCGAAGUGUCUUUGGUUGGGGCGACCGCGGGGUAAAAUACAACCCCCAUGUGGACCGGGGAUAUUAUCCCUAAUACUCAGAGCCUCUACUCCAAGUAACAGAAAUUCUGACUUUUCUGAUCCGGUAUAACCGAUCAACGAACCGAGUUACCCCAGGGAUAACAGCGCAAUCCCCUCCCAGAGCCCAUAUCGACGAGGGGGUUUACGACCUCGAUGUUGGAUCAGGACAUCCUAAUGGUGCAGCCGCUAUUAAGGGUUCGUUUGUUCAACGAUUAAAGUCC
Molecule: ribosomal RNA, 551 nt
Filed under: Brosme brosme
Lineage: Eukaryota; Metazoa; Chordata; Actinopteri; Gadiformes; Lotidae
Description: partial 16S ribosomal RNA
Rfam family: Bacterial large subunit ribosomal RNA
Source: RNAcentral